GACGAACGCUGGCGGCGUGCUUAACACAUGCAAGUCGAGCGGUAAGGCCCUUUCGGGGGUACGACGAGCGGCGAACGGGUGAGUAACACGUGGGUGACCUGCCCUCAGCUCUGGGAUAAGCCUGGGAAACCGGGUCUAAUACCGGAUAUGACUCCAUGACGCAUGUUGUGGGGUGGAAAGCCUUGUGCGGCUGAGGAUGGGCCCGCGGCCUAUCAGCUUGUUGGUGGGGUGAUGGCCUACCAAGGCGACGACGGGUAGCCGGCCUGAGAGGGCGACCGGCCACACUGGGACUGAGACACGGCCCAGACUCCUACGGGAGGCAGCAGGUGGGGAAUCUUGCGCAAGUGGGCGAAAGCCUGACGCAGCGACGCCGCGUGA
This 378-nucleotide ribosomal RNA is filed under the name uncultured bacterium. Its description in RNAcentral is "bacterial SSU rRNA". It matches the Rfam family "Bacterial small subunit ribosomal RNA", at positions 28 to 404 of the family's 1533-position model. The record is from RNAcentral.